AAAUGAAAAUCUCAGCCCUGAGCCCCAGAAACAGCAGGAAGAAUCAAAUAUGGGGAAGAAAGGUGCUUGCGGUAUCAGAAUGGCCUGGCAUCCCAAUGAUGUUUAGAUUAUGGACUUAAGAUUGAUGCUUGCGGCUUGUGAACAUCAAGUCUGUUACUUCUAACUAUACACUACCACACGAUGGAUAGUGACACUUUUAUUAAUAACAGAGGAAGAGUGUCAUCUUAAAAUCAAGUUUUUAAAGACUGUGACUAUUUGAUUCUGUGGGAAAAGAAGGACAUAAAACUAUAAAUUGUGGUCCAAAUUUUAUUUUGAAAUAUAUAUCUGAAAGGAAAUAUACCUGAUAUAAAUAAUGCUUACUAUGAUAGAGGACUUAAGGUGCUUUUAAAUUUUUUUCCUGUAUUAUCCAAAGAUAUUAUAGCCAAGAAAAAGUAAGUAAAAAAAGAAAAUAUAAAACCUAUGAGUACUGUCUUUACAUGAGUUAAGUGCAAACAUUCUUAUUUUUGGUAGUUUGAACAUUUGUUUUCACAUCAUUGUUUUCAUUAUCGUUAUUUGCAGUUGAUACUAAGCCUGUCUCUUCAAAUAUUACCUUUUGUUUUUCCUCGCUAUUUAGUUUCUUUUAUUUUUCAACUUUCUUCACUAGAAGGGCCAACUAGAAGUCAGCACAUCCCUCUCUUCUCAAGGGAGCAAGCUUCUUCCUCCCAAAGCUAACAGUUGAGAGUUUCCAUAGAGUGUUACUACAAAAGUCUACAUCCUCUAGUCUUAUUUUAAGAUAUCUUUUCUCUUCUUAAACUUGUUUCUUAAUUAGCUUAUUCAUUAUACCUAAUCCACACUGAGAAUAUCUUAAACUAUAACUGUUGGGGUUACUAAAUAGAAAUAGGAUCUCAUACAAGACAAGAGUCCUACAAUUUUUUUUUUUUUUGGAGAAUAGUUGCUUUACAAUGUUGAGUUAAUUUCUACUAUUCAGCAAAGUGAAUCAGCCACACAUGUACGUAUGUCCCUUCUUCCUUCGAUUUCCUUCUUCUUUAGGUCACCACAGAGCACUGAGUAGAGUUUCCUGUGCUAUACAGUCAGUGCUUAUUAGUUU
This 1087-nucleotide long non-coding RNA is filed under the name Bos grunniens (domestic yak). RNAcentral describes it as "lncRNA (ENSBGRG00000006296.1)". The record is from RNAcentral. Lineage: Eukaryota; Metazoa; Chordata; Mammalia; Artiodactyla; Bovidae.